RNAcentral lists this long non-coding RNA (448 nucleotides) under Homo sapiens (human). RNAcentral's name for it is "non-protein coding lnc-TAF6-2:2". The record is from RNAcentral. Lineage: Eukaryota; Metazoa; Chordata; Mammalia; Primates; Hominidae.
CCUUGAGACCGGAGUGUGAGGGGCCAACGGGGAAGGGCGCUAGAAUUUUAAACUAAAGUAGGGACCGGAAUUCCCCUGGGGAGAUGUUGGAUGGCCCUGUGCACUGCCACGGGCUCUUUAUUCUUCGCUGGUUAGAAACAGACUUGUGAAAAAGAGUUAUGCCCACUUUGGGGAGACUUCGGUAGGUUUAUUUAAAUGCUCAUAUUAUUAAUUAGUUCAUAGGUCGUGUUUUAAGCGAAAAUGGGUAUCUAAGAUUUGUCUUAAAGUUUGUGUCUUACGGUUUUACAUUUCAUGUUACAGAAAAGGUUAAGAAGUUCUUACAAGAGUUCUACCAGGAUGAUGAACUCGGGAAGAAGCAGUUCAAGUAUGGGAACCAGUUGGUUCGGCUGGCUCAUCGGGAACAGGUGGCUCUGUAUGUGGACCUGGACGACGUAGCCGAGGAUGACCC